This is a long non-coding RNA of Hyalella azteca, 1078 nucleotides long. RefSeq lists it as uncharacterized. Lineage: Eukaryota; Metazoa; Arthropoda; Malacostraca; Amphipoda; Hyalellidae. The transcript is spliced from 3 exons. The record is from RefSeq and is a predicted model, not a curated record.
CAGCUGUACAGGGUCAAGCGGGACGAGUUUGGUCAGUUCUUGGGUGAGCUGGAGGAGGCCUGCAGCAGACCGCCUUCGGCCCUCUGCCCAUGGUCUGCAGAACGUGACACGAGCUCGAGCAGUCGCCAGGACCUGCCAGCAGACCUUGCAGACCGCUGCAGCAAACAGACCACCCACCACACUUCUAAAACUGAUGCUGAUACAGGACGUCGAUGGGAGCUGACAACGGCUGACGUGUCGGUGAACGGCGUGCUCUGUCAGCCUUCUGAUUCAAAUGAUGAUCACCAGCAUCGUGAUCCUAAUGACGACCACCUGCUUCACGAUUCAAGUGAUAAUCACCAUCUCGAUGCCGCCGUUACUGAAGCACCUUAAGGAUAAUCACCACCCCGACGAAGCUGUUGGUAAAACGCCUCAAGAAUAAAGUGAUAAUCACCAUCCCGCCGAAGCUGUUGAUGAAGCGCCUCAAGGAUGAAGUGAUAAUCACCAUCCUCUAUGAUGAGUGAGCUAAAAUCGCUCUCUAUUAUGAGUCAGAGAGCAUCCUGAUCACUUUAUUAAUAUGAAUCUAUUUUUUCACUAUUUAGUAAGAAUAUUAUUAUCUUUUAUUAUUGUAACUUCUAUAAGUCAAUAAUAAAGUAUUUGUUUGUUGACUAAUUUAGGAGGUAGUAUUAUAAGUUUCAUUGCACUGCCCCGCAUGUGUUGUAAAUUUUCUUGGUGGAGAGCUCAAUGUAGAUAUGUACUACUGAAGCGGAUUUGUAGUAUACUCUUAGGAAUAAAACGAGUGUUGUUUAUCUAUCUCAAGGGAAUUAUUUAUAUGUGUCAAAAUCAGUGCCUAUCUUGAUUAGACGUGAAUUAAGGAAGCGUGGUGAGUUCUGAGAUAACCGCACCACACAAAUCCGGUGUUAACUAGAACGCAAUACGAAGUUUUAACUGACGUGAAUACUAAGUUUAAAUUGACGUUGAAUGGAUUUUUUACGAUAUUUAAUGAUGAAAUUUGAAUAAUUAAUUGUGUUUCUAUUAACUCUUGAGACUUCUACAAUGUAUCCAUGUGUGUAAUAAUAAUUAUAUUUUUACAAUAAUG